CUUAAUUGGGCGUUAAGUUGCAGGGUAUAGACCCGAAACCCGGUGAUCUAGCCAUGGGCAGGUUGAAGGUUGGGUAACACUAACUGGAGGACCGAACCGACUAAUGUUGAAAAAUUAGCGGAUGACCUGUGGCUGGGGGUGAAAGGCCAAUCAAACCGGGAGAUAGCUGGUUCUCCCCGAAAGCUAUUUAGGUAGCGCCUCGUGAAUUCAUCUCCGGGGGUAGAGCACUGUUUCGGCUAGGGGGCCAUCCCGGCUUACCAACCCGAUGCAAACUGCGAAUACCGGAGAAUGUUAUCACGGGAGACACACGGCGGGUGCUAACGUCCGUCGUGAAGAGGGAAACAACCCAGACCGCCAGCUAAGGUCCCAAAGUCAUGGUUAAGUGGGAAACGAUGUGGGAAGGCCCAGACAGCCAGGAUGUUGGCUUAGAAGCAGCCAUCAUUUAAAGAAAGCGUAAUAGCUCACUGGUCGAGUCGGCCUGCGCGGAAGAUGUAACGGGGCUAAACCAUGCACCGAAGCUGCGGCAGCGAACGUAUCACCCAAGACAACUUUACGGAGUUGACGAUUGACGGAGCGAAGCGACGUCAAAGCGUUCAUUAAAGUCGAGUUGGCUUAGGGAUACGUUCGUUGGGUAGGGGAGCGUUCUGUAAGCCUGUGAAGGUGUGUCGUGAGGCAUGCUGGAGGUAUCAGAAGUGCGAAUGCUGACAUAAGUAACGAUAAAGCGGGUGAAAAGCCCGCUCGCCGGAAGACCAAGGGUUCCUGUCCAACGUUAAUCGGGGCAGGGUGAGUCGACCCCUAAGGCGAGGCCGAAAGGCGUAGUCGAUGGGAAACGGGUUAAUAUUCCCGUACUUGGUGUUACUGCGAAGGGGGGACGGAGAAGGCUAUGUUGGCCGGGCGACGGUUGUCCCGGUUUAAGCGUGUAGGUGUGUGUUCCAGGUAAAUCCGGUUCACUUUAACACUGAGGCGUGACGACGAGGCACUACGGUGCUGAAGCAACAAAUGCCCUGCUUCCAGGAAAAGCCUCUAAGCAUCAGGUAACACGAAAUCGUACCCCAAACCGACACAGGUGGUCAGGUAGAGAAUACCAAGGCGCUUGAGAGAACUCGGGUGAAGGAACUAGGCAAAAUGGUGCCGUAACUUCGGGAGAAGGCACGCUGACACGUAGGUGAAGUGAUUUACUCAUGGAGCUGAAGUCAGUCGAAGAUACCAGCUGGCUGCAACUGUUUAUUAAAAACACAGCACUGUGCAAACACGAAAGUGGACGUAUACGGUGUGACGCCUGCCCGGUGCCGGAA
Molecule: ribosomal RNA, 1295 nt
Filed under: Salmonella enterica subsp. enterica
Lineage: Bacteria; Pseudomonadati; Pseudomonadota; Gammaproteobacteria; Enterobacterales; Enterobacteriaceae
Also listed under: 1 other name
Description: partial 23S ribosomal RNA
Rfam family: Bacterial large subunit ribosomal RNA
Source: RNAcentral